Molecule: long non-coding RNA, 556 nt
Filed under: Mytilus galloprovincialis (Mediterranean mussel)
Lineage: Eukaryota; Metazoa; Mollusca; Bivalvia; Mytilida; Mytilidae
Source: RNAcentral
GUUCUUUAUCAUCCACUCAUACAAUGUGUUAUAUGGUUAUUAGACAGUUUAGGCAAGGAUUUUUUAAUUUGUUGGUUUACAGAUCCGCCGACCCGAUUUUGCCAAUUUCCAGAAUAAAAAUAAAAUUGACUUUUCAUGCUUUUUUAUUCCCGCAAACCCUAACAAAUGCAUUAUCCCUGAAAAAUAAUUAAAAUAUUCUUUUUUUAUGAAAUGAAAUGCAUUAAUCACUAAAAAAAUUGAUAACACUUUCUGCUGUGAAAAAAUAAAACUUCUAGUUUCAAUUCUAAAAAUAGACAAAUCAAUUAUAACUGACCUUGAAAUGAUUUUGCGCAAAUAAUUUUGUGGAACGAAACCUGUGUUUAAAACCAAUUACAUAAAAAGUUCGUUUUCCUUAUUUGUCAUCAAUACAUAAGAUGCAUCAUCUCAUAGAAAUAGACUUGACUUGUCCAAAUGUGGACAGGUGGAAGACAUCAAGUUAAAGUCAUGAAAGUACUAAAUAUUAACAUCAUUUGGAAUUUUCUUGUUUCAUAGAUAAUAAAAAAAUAUUGUCCAUUUG